CACCUUGCGGUAUUCUUCUAGCUUAGCUAGGAUGAUACAUUUUACCUACCGUUUGACAAACUAUGACAUUUACAAGGUAAGUAGUAAUUAGGGAUGCUUAUCUGUGUGCCAAUUUGCAUCCUACAUGGUUAGCUCAUCGUGAUGUCACAGAAAACCUCCUUGCUAGCUGUACAGGCUUUGCUGCAAAAAAAGACAUUUUCAGUGAGCACCUUCCCUCGUUCUGCUCGAUGGUGGACUCUGUCCAGCAAACGCAUUUGCUGUGUGCCUGAAACCUGCUGCACAGAGGCAGAGGAGCUGUGGCAGUGCUGCAGGGAGCAUCAGGACGCCAGAGCUGCCCGAAGGGCCCAAACAUCCAAACCCUCUGCUUCCCUCGGGCUCUGCUGCACGACUAACAAAGCAGGUGGUGCGCAAGAUGCUCAGAAAGAAAAGUGUAGAAAGAUGAAAGGUAAAGAGGUAAAAUGAAUUCAGGGAGAAAUGCCACAUGAUGAAUCCUGGGAGAAAUGCCACAGGAAGUUUUGGAAAUUAUGCUUUUAGAAAUAAAAAGGUAACAGUUGGACUUGAUGAUCUUUUC
This 571-nucleotide long non-coding RNA is filed under the name Anser brachyrhynchus (Pink-footed goose). RNAcentral's name for it is "lncRNA (ENSABRG00000017715.1)". The record is from RNAcentral. Lineage: Eukaryota; Metazoa; Chordata; Aves; Anseriformes; Anatidae.